GUAAGUCUUGACUGAGGUUUUGAGGUUUUGCUCUGAAGUAUUUUACCAAAUCCAGAGCAUGUGGAAUUCCUGUGAGAAGUCAGGUACUCCACCCUGUCAAUAGAACAUAUACUCCACAGCUGCUCUAUUGCUGAGUGAAGCUCUCUGGAGGAAGGGAAGAAAGUUCAAUCUUUGUUCAGCCAGAAAGAUCAGACCCCUCCACAGAUGCAGCUGGGGGCUGUACACUGCCCUGCACAGCUGCAUCUGGCAUAAGCAGGCAGCUGGGAUCUGCCAGUGCAGCAGGAGCACAGAAAAUAGGAAUGACUAACACUUGCCACUCACACCCUUGCAUUACUUCCAGUUUGACUUAGACAAGACUGCCCUUUUCUGAUAUUUUGUCUUGCCACAUUCUCAGUCACUUACAGAGGGUAAUGAAUCUGACACGUUGAUUUUUGUUAUUUAUCAUUUUAUCUUUUAACAAAAGUCUGCAUUUGGUCCCCAGCAGGCAGUUUUAGGACAACUGAAAUGCUGUCUAAGCAAUCACAGAUGAGCUGGUUAUAUCACACAAAAGCCUUUUUGUGUCAUGACUAAUUUCAGACCCUCCCUGUUUCUUAUGCAGAUUCCAGCCUUGUUCCCUCAUGCACAGAGAAUUAAAUUCUAUGCCUGCAUUUCCUUCUAGAUUCUCCUCUGGGACACAAACUUAUUCAGACAAGCUCAGGAGACAAUAGAAAGACAUCACCAACAGCACUGGCUACCCACCCUGUAGAACUCCUUUGUAUUUCAGUGCAUGGCUAUCCCUGGCAUUGUAGGAGCCAACCUUCUUCCUGUAACUGCACUCUAGGUUAAUGGCCCUCUGUUUUUUUCUCUCCCCCUUUCCCAAGGAAAGUGUCCUGCUAGGAUAAAUUUGAGAUUGCACUCUCCUGCCCACACUGGGAUUUUACUUUUCUGUGUUGCAUGUUCUGGCUUUGGUAGGAGAAGCGACACCUGUGUCAGAUGCAGAAGGAGACAAGGCAACAAAAUGGAACAGUAUCUGGGGAGAAGAAGGCAAAUGGAGAAAGGCAGAAGUGAAAAGGAAGCAAAUAAUUAAUAGAGAAUUGGAGGAAAAACUAUUGCCCUCUGUAAUAUGGAGAAAACCCCCAACCUACAGUUUUCCUCUUGACAUUCAACUAAAUUUAAAUCACUAGUUUAAAAAAAAAGUCCACAUAUUAAUCAAGUGAUUAAUUUGUGA
Molecule: long non-coding RNA, 1207 nt
Filed under: Parus major (Great Tit)
Lineage: Eukaryota; Metazoa; Chordata; Aves; Passeriformes; Paridae
Description: lncRNA (ENSPMJG00000000615.1)
Source: RNAcentral